GCUUGAAGACUGACGAAAAGCUUCAAUUUUUGAGUCAAGAGUUCCAGAGGCCUUACAUUUUCAACGGACAUUUAUCAGUAGCCCCUGCAAGGAAACCCCAUCGCGUCAGAACAGGUGCCGCGCCACGGCUGACGAAGCCUCCAUUUUGAAUUAAGACUUCUUGAUUGAGGUCAUAGGCCUAAAUUUACAACGGACAUUUAACAGAAGCCCCUGCAAGGAAACCCCACUGCCUCAGAACAGGUGCCAGGGCUGACGAAGCCUCCAUUUUGAAUUAAGACUUCUUAAUACAGUAAUUGAGGUAAGAGCAAACUUAUGUCCAGCGUGUAUUCAUGAAAAUGUUUGUUAAAUGAGUAAAAGUACCAAUUAAGGUCACCAAAAUCUGCCUUGUGCACAUUUAUCAUACCUACUUUCUCUUACGAUGUAGAACUAAAGCUCAAAAAAGGCAAUGAGACGUAUAAAAGAGAUGGUUCUC
RNAcentral lists this long non-coding RNA (472 nucleotides) under Sinocyclocheilus anshuiensis. RNAcentral's name for it is "lncRNA (ENSSANG00000044065.1)". Lineage: Eukaryota; Metazoa; Chordata; Actinopteri; Cypriniformes; Cyprinidae. The record is from RNAcentral.